Balaenoptera ricei (Rice's whale) is the source of this 414-nucleotide long non-coding RNA. RefSeq lists it as uncharacterized. Lineage: Eukaryota; Metazoa; Chordata; Mammalia; Artiodactyla; Balaenopteridae. The record is from RefSeq and is a predicted model, not a curated record. The transcript is spliced from 3 exons.
CGGCCAAACAGGUUCCAGCUGCUCUUUGUUGCACUUAAAGCACCAGAGAAGCUGCACUGCUCGCAUGGAUCACUUGAGACCGCAAGAGAGAAAGACUUGGUCUUUGCGCUGACGUCCUUGUGGUGAUUAAUACUAGGACUCUGUGAUUUGCCUCGUGAGAACCUAAUCCGGAGGCUAGGAAGGCUUCAUUGCGAUUGUCGCCAGCUCCUCCCAGAAGGGCUCAGGUCACUCUUCCCCGCCUGGUGCCCUCUACCUGCUCCUCACUGUGUCCGGACUCCCUCACACUCAGGUCUUGGUGACUCCAUGGCCCCAGAUUCUCCUGCCUGAGCCCCAGGACAGACACAGGAGAUUCUGAAGAGAGAACAGAUUCUGUAGCUGCUGAGUCUGCAGCAUCCUUCCCCCUAGCAGCACAGG